GUUAAUAAUUUUAUUAAUAUGUCGUAGGAAAAGUAGUUUUUUGUCUAGGGUUUUUAAUGGGAGGAUUAUUUUAAUGAUAGUUUAUUUGUACAGUGUUGGGUUGACUUAGAUUUUUGGAAGAAUAUUUUAUUUGUGGUACCUUUUGUAUCAGGGUUGAUUAAAAUUUUUUUUAUAUUAAAUUUUCCCGAAUUGUUAAGAGCUAAGAGUAUAUAUAUAUUACUGUGGCAUAAUUAUUUGGAAUAUACUUUUUGUAGUUAGAUGUUAUUCGUUUUUCAAGAUAUCUGGUUUUUUGGGAAAUUAAUUUAAUUAAGUUUAUCGUUGAAUUAAUCUAUUUAUGGGGUUUAUAUUUGAGUUUACUUAAUAUUCAAGGGGAUAAGCUUUUGAAUAAAUUAAUAUAAUAAUUUUUGUUUUUGAUUUGUAGUAGGAAUAGAAGUUUUUAUCUGUUUAAGUGUGUUAUUACUUGUUGUCUUUGAAUAUAAUUUUUUAUUUGUUUAUAUUUUUUACUGGAAUGGAUAUUGAAAUUUGAAUUGUUUUGUAAUAAUGAUUAAAUUAGUAUAAGAUUUUGUAUACUUACUUUCUUAAGGUAAGGUUAUUGAAAGGAACUCGGCAAUUAAAUUUUCUGCCUGUUUAUUAAAAACAUGGCCUUUUGUUAAUAAUAUAAGGUCUGACCUGCUCUAUGAUUAAUUAAAUGGCUGCGGUAUUUUGACCGUGCAAAGGUAGCAUAAUCAUUAGUUUUUUAAUUGGAAGCUGGUAUGAAUGGUUGGACAAGAAAGUAUCUGUCUCUAGAUAAUUUUAUUUGAAUUUUAUUUUUUAGUGAAAAGGCUAAAAUGGUUGUGAGGGACGAGAAGACCCUAUAGAAUUUUAUAUAAUUAUUAUGAUGGAAUUUUUGGUAUAUUUUAUUUAGUUGUGAUAAUUUUAUUUUGUUGGGGUGAUGGGAAAAUUUGAUUAACUUUUUUUUAUGUUGUGCAUUGAUUUAUGUUUAUUUGAUCCAUUUUUUAUGAUUAUAAGAUUUAAUUACCUUAGGGAUAACAGCGUAAUUAGUUUGGAGAGUUCUUAUCGAUAAUCUAGUUUGCGACCUCGAUGUUGGAUUAAAAUUAAUUAUUGGUGUAGGAGCUAAUAAAUUGAGUCUGUUCGACUUUUGAAAUUUUACAUGAUCUGAGUUUAAACCGGCGUGAGCCAGGUUGGUUUCUAUCUUCAUAAAUUUAAAGUAUUUUAGUACGAAAGGACCAAGUGCUUGCUUUAUAAGUUUUAUUUGA
RNAcentral lists this ribosomal RNA (1256 nucleotides) under Neolucanus maximus. Its description in RNAcentral is "16S ribosomal RNA". The stretch from base 1025 to 1183 matches the Rfam family "Archaeal large subunit ribosomal RNA", at positions 2542 to 2701 of the family's 2987-position model. Lineage: Eukaryota; Metazoa; Arthropoda; Insecta; Coleoptera; Lucanidae. The record is from RNAcentral.